CUUAAAAACCAAAGCCGUAGCGGUGACGGUGGUCCAGCUCUUCUCUCCUCACCACUGACACAUGCACCCACAUGUUUUUCAUAACACAAGGCCGGAUCCCUUGAGCUUCUCUUCCAUGAUGUAAUCCAACUUUCUCCCCAUCUCUUCACUCAUAUAAUUUACCCAAUCACCUACCUUGCCUCUCCUGAAGAAGGCUGAUUUCUCGUAGACCACAUUGGGUCUUGGACGGAGCUUCAAGUUUCCGGCCCUAUUAGCCUCCAAGCCACUAAGCAUCUCAAAGCUGCACAACCUUACCACCUGCUCAUGAACACCAUCCUCUUCUUCCUCGCCGGUGAAUGGGACACCGAGGAACAAUGCAAGUUUCUUGGCAUACCUCACAGGAUCUGACAUCAUGUCUUCAUAUUUCAGGAAAAGAAUCCUAUCAGGGCUCGCGAUGCUUUCUUUCCAGUACUCGAGACAAUGGUUCCAAAAGGGCCCACUGGGCAAAGAACCCUCGCAAAACCUAUUGAACAUGGAGUCCAAGUCAGGAGCAUGUCCUCCAUGUAUCCUUUUCAAGAAAUGCCACAAUGACACAAAGGCAUCCUUGGGCUCUCGGCAAAUAUAAACAAUACGACAACCAUGGCUAGCUAUGGAUCCAGGAAGAAGUGACAUGGGCAUGUGGGUAGACACAAGCCUCGGGGAGGGAAGCGUCUCAACAUAGCUUAGGUCCUCAUUUGUAGGAAUUUCCAGGAAAGGCACUACCUCCUGUGGAUGAUGGGUGAGGAGCGGGUGGUCAUGGAAGUUGUAACGGUGGCGGGUGGUGAUAGUGAAGGCAAGUGCCUUGAGCCAUGUGGUGCCACACUUGGGGUUUGUGGCGAGGAUGAUAUCGUCGUGGCGAGGCUUGAAGAUGUCUUGGAGGAGCAUGAUGUUUUUGGCGGUCUGUGGCCACAGCCAAUAGUUCUUGUAGAGCACCAAGCCUUCUUUUGGUGGAAGUUUGGACACAAGAUCAUCAAUGUGGCUCUCGGCUGAGCUUCCCUCGUUGUUGGGAUGAGCCAUGGCUGGUUUUAUAUUUUGGGCCUUUUGGCAGGUGAUGGAUCCAACAAACAGGCAGCUAGCUAGCUAAAAGCUUCUGCUUCAACCCGCGGAUUGAGCUAGCUGC
RNAcentral lists this long non-coding RNA (1138 nucleotides) under Setaria viridis. Its description in RNAcentral is "long non-coding RNA (SVIR_LNC006229)". Lineage: Eukaryota; Viridiplantae; Streptophyta; Magnoliopsida; Poales; Poaceae. The record is from RNAcentral.